This 1492-nucleotide ribosomal RNA is filed under the name uncultured prokaryote. RNAcentral describes it as "partial 16S ribosomal RNA". It matches the Rfam family "Bacterial small subunit ribosomal RNA". The record is from RNAcentral.
AGAGUUUGAUCCUGGCUCAGAACGAACGCUGGCGGCGUGGAUAAGACAUGCAAGUCGAACGCUGGUUGCGAGGUAGCAAUAUCCCGUAACCGGAGUGGCGAAAGGGGGCGUAACACGUGGGCAAUCUGCCGUGAAGUUGGGAAUAACUUGCCGAAAGGUAAGCUAAUACCGAAUGUGUCGAUUGGGAGGCUUCUCCUGAUGUCUAAAGCUGGGGAUCUUCGGACCUGGCGCUUUAAGAUAAGCCCGCGGCCUAUCAGCUUGUUGGUGAGGUAAAAGCUCACCAAGGCGACGACGGGUAGCUGGUCUGAGAGGACGAUCAGCCACACUGGAACUGAGACACGGUCCAGACACCUACGGGUGGCAGCAGUCGAGAAUCUUUCACAAUGGGCGAAAGCCUGAUGGAGCGACGCCGCGUGGGGGAUGAAGGUCUUCGGAUCGUAAACCCCUGUCAUCUGUGAGCAAUGCCUUUCAGUUAAUAGCCGGAAGGUUUGAUAGUAGCAGAAGAGGAAGGGACGGCUAACUCCGUGCCAGCAGCCGCGGUAAUACGGAGGUCCCAAGCGUUGUUCGGAUUCACUGGGCGUAAAGGGUGCGUAGGUGGCUGAGAUAGUUUGAUGUGAAAGCUCCGGGCUCAACCCGGAAAAUGCAUUGAAUACUACUCAGCUAGAGGAUCGGAGGGGAAAGUGGAAUUCUUGGUGUAGCAGUGAAAUGCAUAGAUAUCAAGAGGAACAUCAGUGGCGAAGGCGAGUCUCUGGACAACACCUGACAUCUAAACGGUAAAGGGUGCACGUUUUGGUGUAAUUAGAAUUCGACCCCGAUGGUGGAAAAGAUAAACGCUUUAAAUAUGACAACUUGGGGGAGUAGGGUCGUAAGAUUAAAACUCAAAAAAAUUGACGGGGGCCUGCACAAGCGGUGGAGUAUGUGGCUCAAUUCGAUGCAACGCGAAAGAACCUUAACUGGCCUUGACUUACUCGUGGUAGAAGUGUGAAAGGGAAACGACCCCGCAAGGGGAGCUUGCACAGGUGCUGCAUGGCUGUCGUCAGCUCGUGUCGUGAGAUGUUGGGUUAAGUCCCGCAACGAGCGCAACCCUUGUGUCCUGUUGCCACCCGAACUUCGGUUCGGAGCACUCUGGACAGACUGCCUGGUUCCAACCAGGAGGAAGGUGGGGAUGACGUCAAGUCAGUAUGGCCCUUACGGCCAGGGCUGCACACGUACUACAAUGCCUGGCACAAUGGGACGCAAGACCGCAAGGUGGAGCAAAUCCCCAAAAACCAGGCUCAGUUCGGAUUGUCGUCUGCAACUCGACGGCAUGAAGCUGGAAUCGCUAGUAAUGGCGCAUCAGCUACGGCGCCGUGAAUACGUUCCCAGGCCUUGUACACACCGCCCGUCACAUCAUGAAAGCCGGUCAUACCCGAAGUCGCCGAGCUAACCCGCAAGGGAGGCAGGCGCCGAAGGUAAGACUGGUGAUUGGGAUGAAGUCGUAACAAGGUAGCCG